CAGCGACGCCAAGCUGGUGGACGCCCAGGCGGGUCUGGAAAGCGGCAUCAGUGCCGUGCUGGCUGCCCUGGCCGGGGUCAGCAUGGUCUCCGGCGCGG
Levilinea saccharolytica is the source of this 98-nucleotide regulatory RNA element. It matches the Rfam family "Pyrrolysine insertion sequence mttB". The record is from Rfam. Lineage: Bacteria; Bacillati; Chloroflexota; Anaerolineae; Anaerolineales; Anaerolineaceae.